This is a long non-coding RNA of Homo sapiens (human), 501 nucleotides long. The record is from Ensembl. NCBI's taxonomy places the organism in Eukaryota, Metazoa, Chordata, Mammalia, Primates, Hominidae.
GAAUCAUGAGAGGGCACCUGCCUUCCUUCUACAUCCUAGAUGAACUGGUCUGAGCACGUUCUUCUGUGAGGUUUAUAAUUGAGAUGUGUGGACACUAAGCUCAUAAAGAAUCAGGGCUAAGACUAUGAUGGGUCAUAUGCAAGCUGAUGCUGAGGAAGCCCACCAUAAGAACGGAGAAUGGAGCAUUCUGCAGAGAGCAGAGGCAGCUGUGGAUCCAGGAGACCAGGAGACCCAGGAGAUUUCCAGAAGCAUGAGAGUAACUGAACUUGAGAGUUCAUUAGAGAGAAGACUCCUACUGUUUAGAGAACAGAGAUUUCAAGGAAGGAUUAAGGCUGGCAUCCUGAUAGCAAAGGUGGAGACAAAGGAAAGCAUUCCAGAUAACUUUCAAAAGAAACUCAAACAUUCGGAAAUCAUUUUCACUACCAAGAAAGGAAGUUAAGAAAAAUAGUUAUUUCCAAGGUCUCCAGAAUCUGAAGCUCUGCUCCUGAGUUUAUAAAAUGU